CGGGGCGUAGCGCAGUUUGGUAGCGUGCUUGGUUCGGGACCAAGAGGCCGGAGGUUCGAAUCCUCUCGCUCCGACCA
Molecule: transfer RNA, 77 nt
Filed under: Bacteroidales bacterium
Lineage: Bacteria; Pseudomonadati; Bacteroidota; Bacteroidia; Bacteroidales
Also listed under: 1 other name
Description: tRNA-Pro
Rfam family: tRNA
About the family: Transfer RNA (tRNA) molecules are approximately 80 nucleotides in length. Their secondary structure includes four short double-helical elements and three loops (D, anti-codon, and T loops).
Source: RNAcentral